This 254-nucleotide ribosomal RNA is filed under the name uncultured bacterium. RNAcentral describes it as "partial 16S ribosomal RNA". It matches the Rfam family "Bacterial small subunit ribosomal RNA", at positions 524 to 776 of the family's 1533-position model. The record is from RNAcentral.
CACGUAGGGGGCGAGCGUUGUCCGGAUUUAUUGGGCGUAAAGAGCUCGUAGGCGGCUCAGUAAGUCAGGUGUGAAAACUCCAGGCUCAACCUGGAGACGCCACCUGAUACUGCUGUGGCUAGAGUCCGGUAGGGGAGCAUGGAAUUCCUGGUGUAGCGGUGAAAUGCGCAGAUAUCAGGAGGAACACCAGUGGCGAAGGCGGUGCUCUGGGCCGGAACUGACGCUGAGGCGCGAAAGCGUGGGGAGCGAACAGG